UGGCGGAAUGCUUUACACAUGCAAGUCGAGCGGCAGCGCGGGGCAACCUGGCGGCGAGCGGCGAACGGGCGAGUAAUGCAUCGGAACAUGUCCAAUCGUGGGGGAUAGCCCGGCGAAAGCCGGAUUAAUACCGCAUACGCCCGAGAGGGGAAAGCCGGGGACCGCAAGGCCUGGCGCGACUGGGUUGGCCGAUGUCCGAUUAGCUAGUUGGCGAGGUAAAGGCUCACCAAGGCAUCGAUCAGUAGCUGGUCUGAGAGGACGACCAGCCACACUGGAACUGAGACACGGUCCAGACUCCUACGGGAGGCAGCAGUGGGGAAUUUUGGACAAUGGGCGCAAGCCUGAUCCAGCAAUGCCGCGUGAGUGAAGAAGGCCUUCGGGUUGUAAAGCUCUUUCGGCGGGGACGAAACGGUCCGUGACAACACCACGGACUAAUGACGGUACUCGCAGAAGAAGCACCGGCUAACUACGUGCCAGCAGCCGCGGUAAUACGGGGGGGGCAAGCGUUGUUCGGAAUUACUGGGCGUAAAGGGCUCGUAGGUGGCCAACUAAGUCAGACGUGAAAUCCCUCGGCUUAACCGGGGAACUGCGUCUGAUACUGGAUGGCUUGAGUUUGGGAGAGGGAUGCGGAAUUCCAGGUGUAGCGGUGAAAUGCGUAGAUAUCUGGAGGAACACCGGUGGCGAAGGCGGCAUCCUGGACCAAUACUGACGCUGAGGAGCGAAAGCCAGGGGAGCAAAC
RNAcentral lists this ribosomal RNA (739 nucleotides) under uncultured soil bacterium. RNAcentral's name for it is "bacterial SSU rRNA". It matches the Rfam family "Bacterial small subunit ribosomal RNA", at positions 37 to 773 of the family's 1533-position model. The record is from RNAcentral.